CACCAAUAAAAAAAGGGCAUGGGCCCCUUCAAUGUGAGGGUGUUGUAAACCGAGCUUGCAUACAGCUCGGUCUUAAUUGAAUUUCCUUCCAUGAAGGUUCUUGGUAAACAUGAGUCAAUGCAGUACUAAAAGAACAUGAGUCCAGGUUAUUUUCUCCUUGCCCUGUUUGUUUUAGGAUUUUUAAGAUUAUUCUAUUCAAGAUAAAUAUAUUAUGAUCGGUAAAUAUUUCCUUUGAUUAUUGUUAUUAAAUAAUUAUUAAUAAAUGAUUCUUUGAAUCAAUCUUGCAUCUUUGGUCCUGAAGCACUGUGAGUGAUAGGCUCAAUUGGAGAUUUGGUCCCAUACUCACAACGUUCAAUACAAUAUUUCUUUUCCUCAAUAUCAAAUGACUAAACUUUGUUAGGGGAUAAAUAAAGAUUUUUCUAAUCUUCUUUUGCAAUAAUGUUGAUAGAAUCAUGGUUUUAAUUAACUUUUAUUGUAUUGUUGCAACGUUUCAUGUUGCGACGUUAUAAUUAAUGGAAGGUUGCAAUGAAAAAACUUCAAAAUCUUAAUGACAAUUAAAAUAUAGUGUAAUUAUUUUUAUUUUUUUUUGGUAUAUUAUAAUAUCUAAUUUUUAGACAUGUAAUGUUUAAAUCGUUCCAUUACAAGAAGAAGAAGUGUAAAACGAGAAAAUGGAGUUGGACAAAAAGAAGAAAAAGUGAGUGGGAGGACAAGAUGGUAAAUUUUUGCUCAUUAUAGAGGGUAGUGAAAGGGUUGCAGUAUAAAAAGCUAUUUGUGUACAAUAACGUAUCAUGUGCAUUGUCAAUGGAAAGGACUGGUAACGUGUAAUUUUAUUUUUAUUAUUUUUUUAAAUCAGAGUGCAAAAUGGGCAACAACAGGGGCUCAAUUAUUGAACCAAAGGGAGAGCCCCAUCAAGUCAGGAAAGCACUAGGAAUUAUCAAUACAAUUAUUGAACCAAAGGGACAAAAUAUAUCUAAGCUAAUUAUAUUUUUAUUUUUUUAGCGGACUAACCAUUGGAAAAUAACUUAUUGGGUAAUAAACCUAAAAAUUAAAUGAAAUACUAUCAAUGCGAACUUUAUGUUAAUAUUAGUACAAUUGUUUAUCCAGUUUCUCGUUCAACCCCAAUAUUUUACUCGUCUCUCAUAAUAUCUAAGCUUGACUUGCAUCUUGACGUCUCCAUUUAAUUUAUUUACUGACUCAUGCAUUUUCAUAAUUUCACGUGCUUUUUUUUUUUUUUUUUGUCAUUUUUGUUAGUAUGUGAUGUUACAAAAUUUUAUCUCGCUCUUUCUAGAGGAAUGCAUAAUAAUUAAUUUGGCAGGUUGGGUCGGAGUCAAGAGAGGAAGAAAUCCAAUACUAAAGCUGGAGUCUAAUGAACAUAUUAGGCAUUUUAUCACCGUUCAAAUUUGAUUGGAAACUGCUUUGUUUUCAUAUGGGCGUCUGUAUUGUAAAUUUAAGUACAAUAAUGCCUUAAUUUUUAAGGUUGUGUAUUACAACAGUGUUUUAAUACUUUCAUAGAAUUUGCAAUAGAAAUGGUUAAAAAACCAGAAAAUAGAUCACAAACUUUGCAUUUGAC
This 1570-nucleotide long non-coding RNA is filed under the name Olea europaea subsp. europaea. Lineage: Eukaryota; Viridiplantae; Streptophyta; Magnoliopsida; Lamiales; Oleaceae. The record is from RNAcentral.